AACAAAUAUAGUUUUACUGGCCAUAGCUGCAUUAGUCAUUUACAUAUUGUUUAUGAUUGCUUUCAUUCUACAGAGCUGGUUACCAGUAGCAGACAUGUCCUGAACCAUAAACUUAACUCUUCCUCUCAGGGUGAAGAGAAAUGGCAGUCCCCAAUGCUUCUUUAAUCUCAGUUAGUCACGGGCAUACUUAACUCUCCUUCACGCAAAGCUUUUAUUUAUUCGACAAAUACUUGCUGAGCACACCCCUUUUAAAACAAUGUUUAACUCUGUCUCUGUGGUUAGGGAAGUGCAUUCAGUGCCUGCCCUCAGCUCUCAUCCUUUGGUUGCGAUGGCCUUUGGUGGCUGUGAGGGGAGAAAGGGAAGAGGUCCCAUCCUUGGGUGCUUAGUGCAGCGAGGAGGCUUUGGAGUUAGCGAUUACCAAACACUUUUGUGUGGGUGCGGAUUGGGCUACCGGACUGCCUUGAAUCUCUGCUGCUUGCGCCCCGAAAAGGAAGAGGAUCAGUACCACGUGACCACCGGCGGCAAGCUCCGUUAGGAAAAGAUGUGAAGGUUAGUGAAACAAGAUCAUACUGGAGUUUUUUAGAGAGCCUGGUGACUCAGGGAUGGCUCGGUAAAAAUACCUGUAGACUGAGGUCGUAGAAGCCGUCCUUGGUGACUAAGGUUUCACGUAUCUCAGUUUGUCAAAUUCUUUGUUAAGUGGUUCAAAACAUUGAGAAAGACCUUAGGGCCCUAACAGAAACUUUCUUCUCAAUGACACAGGAGGUCUCCGACUCUGAGUCAGUGGCCCUGGGCUCCAGAGCAAAGUAAGCAUGGGAAUGCAUGGAAUUUAUUUGUAGUUUGCAGGAAAUAAAGUGUUAUUGUUAGGGACGUUUCCUGUCA
Molecule: long non-coding RNA, 879 nt
Filed under: Mus spicilegus (steppe mouse)
Lineage: Eukaryota; Metazoa; Chordata; Mammalia; Rodentia; Muridae
Description: lncRNA (ENSMSIG00000012424.1)
Source: RNAcentral